UCAAGUGAAUAAGCGCAUAUGGUGAAUGCCUUGGCGGCAGAAGGCGAUGAAGGACGUAGUAGUCUGCGAUAAGCCCCGGUGAGCCGACAAACAGGCUUUGACCCGAGGAUUUCCGAAUGGGGAAACCCGGCCAGUUUUAACUGGUCAUCAUGCACUGAAUACAUAGGUGUAUGAAGCGAACCCGGAGAACUGAAACAUCUAAGUACCCGGAGGAAAAGAAAUCAACCGAGAUUCCCUUAGUAGCGGCGAGCGAAAGGGGACCAGCCCUAAACUCUUUGUUGUGUUAGUGAAACUGUCUGGAAAGGCAGGCCAUAGUGGGUGAUAGCCCCGUACACGAAAACACUUCAAGGAUUAUUCGAGUAGGUCGGGACACGUGACAUCCUGAUUGAACAUGGGGGGACCAUCCUCCAAGGCUAAAUACUCUCUGCCGACCGAUAGUGAACCAGUACCGUGAGGGAAAGGCGAAAAGAACCCCGGAGAGGGGAGUGAAAUAGAACCUGAAACCGUAUGCGUACAAGCAGUAGGAGCAUAAUUUAUUAUGUGACUGCGUACCUUUUGUAUAAUGGGUCAGCGAGUUACUUUUUGUAGCAAGGUUAACCGUUUAGGGGAGCCGUAGGGAAACCGAGUCUUAAAUGGGCGAAUUAGUUGCAAGGAGUAGACCCGAAACCGGACGAUCUAGCCAUGGCCAGGUUGAAGGUGAGGUAGUACUCACUGGAGGACCGAACCAACUAAUGUUGAAAAAUUAGUGGAUGAGCUGUGGCUAGGAGUGAAAGGCUAAUCAAGUUCGGAGAUAGCUGGUUCUCCCCGAAAGCUAUUUAGGUAGCGCCUCGUGUCUCACUCCUGGGGGUAGAGCACUGUUACGGCUAGGGGGUCAUCCCGACUUACCAAACCGUUGCAAACUCCGAAUACCAGGAAGUGCAAUCACGGGAGACACACGGCGGGUGCUAACGUCCGUCGUGGAAAGGGAAACAACCCAGACCGCCAGCUAAGGUCCCAAAAUCAUAUCUCAGUGGGAAACGAAGUGGAAAGGCUAAAACAGCCAGGAGGUUGGCUUAGAAGCAGCCACCCUUUAAAGAAAGCGUAAUAGCUCACUGGUCGAGUCGGUUCGCGCGGAAGAUGUAACGGGGCUUAAGAUAUGUACCGAAGCUGCGGAUGCAUGUUUACAUGCAUGGUAGGGGAGCGUUCUGUAAGUUUGUGAAGGUGUUCUGUAAGGAAUGCUGGAGAUAUCAGAAGUGAGAAUGCUGACAUGAGUAGCGAUAAUGCGGGUGAAAAACCCGCACGCCGAAAGCCCAAGGUUUCCUGCGCAACGCUAAUCGGCGCAGGGUUAGUCGGCCCCUAAGGCGAGGCAGAAAUGCGUAGUCGAUGGGAAACUGGUUAACAUUCCAGUACCGCACUUUAUUGCGAUGGGGAGACGGAGAAGGCUAGGACAGCCGGCUGUUGGAUAUGCCGGUUUAAGCGUUUAGGUAGGCUCUUUAGGCAAAUCCGGAGAGCUAUUACCGAGGCGUGAUGACGAUUUCCUCUUUUGGAAAGAAGUGUUUGAUGCCAUGCUUCCAGGAAAAUCCUCUAAGCUUCAGAUAAAGUGUGACCGUACCCCAAACCAACACAGGUGGGCAGGGUGAGAAUCCUAAGGCGCUUGAGAGAACUCGGGUGAAGGAACUCGGCAAAAUGGUACCGUAACUUCGGGAGAAGGUACGCCUUUGCUGGUGACCGGAUUUACUCUGUAAGCUGGCAAAGGCCGCAGAGACCAGGGGGCUGCGACUGUUUAAUAAAAACAUAGCACUGUGCAAACACGCAAGUGGACGUAUACGGUGUGACGCCUGCCCGGUGCCGGAAGGUUAAUUGAUGGGGUUAGACUUAGGUCGAAGCUCUUGAUCGAAGCCCCGGUAAACGGCGGCCGUAACUAUAACGGUCCUAAGGUAGCGAAAUUCCUUGUCGGGUAAGUUCCGACCUGCACGAAUGGCGUAACGAUGGCCCCGCUGUCUCCACCCGAGACUCAGCGAAAUUGAAUUUGCGGUGAAGAUGCCGUAUACCCGCGGUUAGACGGAAAGACCCCGUGCACCUUUACUACAGCUUCACAUUGGACUUUGAUUAUAUUUGUGUAGGAUAGCUGGGAGGCUUUGAAACCAUGUCGCUAGAUAUGGUGGAGCCAACCUUGAAAUACCAGCCUGAUAUGGUUGUGGUCCUAACCGAGGUCCGUUAUCCGGAUCCGGGACAAUGUGUGGUGGGUAGUUUGACUGGGGCGGUCUCCUCCCAAAGAGUAACGGAGGAGCGCGAAGGUACCCUCAGCACGGUCGGAAAUCGUGCAAUGAGUGCAAAAGCAUAAGGGUGCUUGACUGCGAGACAGACACGUCGAGCAGGUACGAAAGUAGGUUUUAGUGAUCCGGUGGUUCUGUAUGGAAGGGCCAUCGCUCAGCGGAUAAAAGGUACGCCGGGGAUAACAGGCUGAUACCGCCCAAGAGUUCAUAUCGACGGCGGUGUUUGGCACCUCGAUGUCGGCUCAUCACAUCCUGGGGCUGUAGCCGGUCCCAAGGGUAUGGCUGUUCGCCAUUUAAAGUGGUACGCGAGCUGGGUUUAGAACGUCGUGAGACAGUUUGGUCCCUAUCUGCCGUGGGCGCUGGAGACUUGAGAGGAGCUUCUCCUAGUACGAGAGGACCGGAGUGGACGUACCUCUGGUGUUCCGGUUGUCACGCCAGUGGCAUUGCCGGGUAGCUAUGUACGGAAGGGAUAACCGCUGAAAGCAUCUAAGCGGGAAGCCCACCUCAAGAUAAGGUCUCCCUGGAUAUUUAAUAUCCCUGAAGGGCCGUUGAAGACUACAACGUUGAUAGGCCAGGUGUGGAAGCGUGGUAACACGUGAAGCUAACUGGUACUAAUUACCCGUGAGACUUGACC
RNAcentral lists this ribosomal RNA (2889 nucleotides) under bacterium BMS3Abin11. RNAcentral's name for it is "bacterial LSU rRNA". It matches the Rfam family "Bacterial large subunit ribosomal RNA". The record is from RNAcentral.